RNAcentral lists this long non-coding RNA (1800 nucleotides) under Octopus vulgaris (common octopus). The record is from RNAcentral. Lineage: Eukaryota; Metazoa; Mollusca; Cephalopoda; Octopoda; Octopodidae.
UUAUUUGAGCUACACAUAUUACUCCCAUACACAUACGCACAUAAACAUUUAUAGGUCACGCAUAUACAGAUACACACAUGUAAAUCUAUCUAUCUGUCUGUCUGUCUACACACAUAUAUAAUUCACUUAAUAGCGGGAUGCGAAGCUCAACAAAAAUGGCCUUUGUUAUGAGAUUACAAAACCAUGAUAUUAGUCAGUAUUCUUGUCUAUUAUAAUAUAAUACUUGUAUUUUAUUUAUUCUCUUUUGUUUUCUCUAAAAAAUUCUUCAGUUAAGAAUUCUGCCCUUUUUUUUGACUCUGGGAUACCCAGCAAGUAUGUGGUUUUACCAGUAUGCAUGUGGAAUAAAUGUCUGUUGAUACUUCAAGUGCAUCUUGCUUGCUCUUCUCCUUCAUGCGCCCCAUGGCCUGUUAAGGACUUUCUUUCUUCCUUGUAACCCACACCAGAACACAGGGGCAAAGCGAAUAAAAAUUUUAAACUGCACACAACAAGCAAUCUUUCAAACGCUGCACUGAUGCACUUGAAACUCUCUAUGAGAGGCUGUGCUUUCUAUGUGCCCUGAUUGAGCAGGAAGAGCUAAGGUUCAUCAUAUGGGUUAUCAUUAUCUUAAGUUUGCCUUCAUCUAUUUAAGAACUCUGUGUGUGUGUGUGUGUGUGUGUGUGAUUUUGCAUACAUAUGGAUACAUACAAACAUAAAGUUGAAAACUUGGUAAUAUCUUAUAUACACAUGUAAAGGUGGUGAGCUGGCAGAAACGUUAGCAUGCUGGGCGAAAUGCUUAGCGGUAUUUCGUCUGCUGUUAUGUUCUGAGUUCAAAUUCCGCCGAGGUCGACUUUGCCUUUCAUCCUUUCAGGGUCAAUAAAUUAAGUACCAGUUACACACUGGGGUCGAUGUAAUCGACUUAAUCCAUUUUUCUGUCCUUGUUUGUCCCCUCUGUGUUUAGUCCCUUGUGGGCAGUAAAGAAACAAAUAUAUUAUAUACACAUGUAGAAGAGGUGUGUGUGUGUGUGUAUCGAGUGCAAUAGAUGCCAUGUGGCAACUGGGAUUUCACUGAUGGCAUUAAAUUUCUUUGUAAUGUAUAAAAUACACACACAUGCGUGCAUACACAUAUACCUUCAUGCAUGCACACACACAGACAUUACACACAGACAUGCUUGUGUUUGAAGUGUUUAGUUUGAGAUUGGCAUCUACUUCUAUGCAUCUCUGAAUAUAUUCACACGCAUAUACACAUGAACAUAAACAUAUUUUUACAUAUGCACACACACACACGCGUUACCAUCAAAUAUACAUACACUAUGUAUGUGUGUGUGUGUGUAAUGUUUGAGAGAGAGAGAGAGGGAGGGAGGGAGAAAAACUAGCUGUUUGUAUGCAAAUGAAUCUUAUCAUAUCUCUGAACUAUUAUUUUAAUUAAAAGCAGUGGGUGUUUCGAAUAAGAACCAUGGAGGUUAAAUGCAUUCUGGAAUUCCUGUCCAUUUCUCGUGGUUCCACAUUCAAAUUCCAUCCAGAUAGGGUUGAUAAAAUAACUCUAAAUGCUUAAUUGGAAUCAAUCUAAUUAUAACUUUUCUUUCAUCCCACCAAACACUUGUUGUUCAAUAAUUACUCUUUUAAUUAUCAUUGCAAAAAUAAACCCAAAAAGCAAACAAAGACCCAAAAAUUCAGUGCUUCAUUUUUUUUUUUUUUUUAAAUAAUUUUAUACUGCAUUUUGUGUGCAAGCUUUUGUGUGUCAACAAUAAAUAUAUUUUAUCUUAAAUUUUACAUGUUUAACCUUAUUUAUUGUAAAAAAAUAAUAAAUCUAUUCGAGAUUUAG